RNAcentral lists this ribosomal RNA (831 nucleotides) under Striaticonidium cinctum. RNAcentral's name for it is "LSU rRNA". It matches the Rfam family "Eukaryotic large subunit ribosomal RNA", at positions 74 to 939 of the family's 3401-position model. The record is from RNAcentral. Lineage: Eukaryota; Fungi; Ascomycota; Sordariomycetes; Hypocreales; Stachybotryaceae.
AUUGCCUCAGUAACGGCGAAGUGAAGCGGCAACAGCUCAAAUUUGAAAUCUGCCCCCCGGGCCGAGUUGUAAUUUGCAGAGGAUGCUUUUGGCGAGGUGCCUUCCGAGUUCCCUGGAACGGGACGCCAUAGAGGGUGAGAGCCCCGUCUGGUCGGACACCGAGCCUCUGUAAAGCUCCUUCGACGAGUCGAGUAGUUUGGGAAUGCUGCUCUAAAUGGGAGGUAUAUGUCUUCUAAAGCUAAAUACCGGCCAGAGACCGAUAGCGCACAAGUAGAGUGAUCGAAAGAUGAAAAGCACUUUGAAAAGAGAGUUAAAUAGCACGUGAAAUUGUUGAAAGGGAAGCGUUUAUGACCAGACUUGGCCCGGUUGAUCAUCCAGCGUUCUCGCUGGUGCACUCUGCCGGUCCAGGCCAGCAUCAGUUCGCUCCGGGGGACAAAGGUUUCGGGAAUGUGGCUCCCUCCGGGGAGUGUUAUAGCCCGUUGCGUAAUACCCUGGGGUGGACUGAGGUCCGCGCAUUGCAAGGAUGCUGGCGUAAUGGUCAUCAACGACCCGUCUUGAAACACGGACCAAGGAGUCGUCUUCGUAUGCGAGUGUUCGGGUGCAAAACCCCUACGCGUAAUGAAAGUGAACGCAGGUGAGAGCUUCGGCGCAUCAUCGACCGAUCCUGAUGUUCUCGGAUGGAUUUGAGUAAGAGCAUACGGGGCCGGACCCGAAAGAAGGUGAACUAUGCCUGUAUAGGGUGAAGCCAGAGGAAACUCUGGUGGAGGCUCGCAGCGGUUCUGACGUGCAAAUCGAUCGUCAAAUAUGGCAUGGGGCGAAAGACUAAUCGAA